This 104-nucleotide unclassified non-coding RNA is filed under the name Paraliobacillus sp. PM-2. RNAcentral's name for it is "yybP-ykoY". The record is from RNAcentral. Lineage: Bacteria; Bacillati; Bacillota; Bacilli; Caryophanales; Bacillaceae.
UAGUGAUAUAAAGGGGAGUAGCUAUUAUUAUUAUGUCGUCAUUCCGAGAGAAAUCUCCGGCAUAAUAGGCAACGGGCGUUGUAAGCAAGACCUUUACCAACUGC